GGGUUGUGAGGUUAAGCGACUAAGCGUACACGGUGGAUGCCCUGGCAGUCAGAGGCGAUGAAGGACGUGCUAAUCUGCGAUAAGCGUCGGUGAGGUGAUAUGAACCGUUAUAACCGGCGAUUUCCGAAUGGGGAAACCCAGUGUGUUUCGACACACUAUCAUUAACUGAAUCCAUAGGUUAAUGAGGCGAACCGGGGGAACUGAAACAUCUAAGUACCCCGAGGAAAAGAAAUCAACCGAGAUUCCCCCAGUAGCGGCGAGCGAACGGGGAGGAGCCCAGAGCCUGAAUCAGUGUGUGUGUUAGUGGAAGCGUCUGGAAAGGCGUGCGAUACAGGGUGACAGCCCCGUACACAAAAAUGCACAUGCUGUGAGCUCGAUGAGUAGGGCGGGACACGUGGUAUCCUGUCUGAAUAUGGGGGGACCAUCCUCCAAGGCUAAAUACUCCUGACUGACCGAUAGUGAACCAGUACCGUGAGGGAAAGGCGAAAAGAACCCCGGCGAGGGGAGUGAAAAAGAACCUGAAACCGUGUACGUACAAGCAGUGGGAGCCUCUUAAUGGGGUGACUGCGUACCUUUUGUAUAAUGGGUCAGCGACUUAUAUUCUGUAGCAAGGUUAACCGAAUAGGGGAGCCGAAGGGAAACCGAGUCUUAACUGGGCGUUAAGUUGCAGGGUAUAGACCCGAAACCCGGUGAUCUAGCCAUGGGCAGGUUGAAGGUUGGGUAACACUAACUGGAGGACCGAACCGACUAAUGUUGAAAAAUUAGCGGAUGACUUGUGGCUGGGGGUGAAAGGCCAAUCAAACCGGGAGAUAGCUGGUUCUCCCCGAAAGCUAUUUAGGUAGCGCCUCGUGAAUUCAUCUCCGGGGGUAGAGCACUGUUUCGGCAAGGGGGUCAUCCCGACUUACCAACCCGAUGCAAACUGCGAAUACCGGAGAAUGUUAUCACGGGAGACACACGGCGGGUGCUAACGUCCGUCGUGAAGAGGGAAACAACCCAGACCGCCAGCUAAGGUCCCAAAGUCAUGGUUAAGUGGGAAACGAUGUGGGAAGGCCCAGACAGCCAGGAUGUUGGCUUAGAAGCAGCCAUCAUUUAAAGAAAGCGUAAUAGCUCACUGGUCGAGUCGGCCUGCGCGGAAGAUGUAACGGGGCUAAACCAUGCACCGAAGCUGCGGCAGCGACACUAUGUGUUGUUGGGUAGGGGAGCGUUCUGUAAGCCUGUGAAGGUGUGCUGUGAGGCAUGCUGGAGGUAUCAGAAGUGCGAAUGCUGACAUAAGUAACGAUAAAGCGGGUGAAAAGCCCGCUCGCCGGAAGACCAAGGGUUCCUGUCCAACGUUAAUCGGGGCAGGGUGAGUCGACCCCUAAGGCGAGGCCGAAAGGCGUAGUCGAUGGGAAACAGGUUAAUAUUCCUGUACUUGGUGUUACUGCGAAGGGGGGACGGAGAAGGCUAUGUUGGCCGGGCGACGGUUGUCCCGGUUUAAGCGUGUAGGCUGGUUUUCCAGGCAAAUCCGGAAAACCAAGGCUGAGGCGUGAUGACGAGGCACUACGGUGCUGAAGUGACAAAUGCCCUGCUUCCAGGAAAAGCCUCUAAGCAUCAGGUAACAUUAAAUCGUACCCCAAACCGACACAGGUGGUCAGGUAGAGAAUACCAAGGCGCUUGAGAGAACUCGGGUGAAGGAACUAGGCAAAAUGGUGCCGUAACUUCGGGAGAAGGCACGCUGAUAUGUAGGUGAAGCGACUUGCUCGUGGAGCUGAAAUCAGUCGAAGAUACCAGCUGGCUGCAACUGUUUAUUAAAAACACAGCACUGUGCAAACACGAAAGUGGACGUAUACGGUGUGACGCCUGCCCGGUGC
This 1850-nucleotide ribosomal RNA is filed under the name Escherichia coli. Its description in RNAcentral is "partial 23S ribosomal RNA". It matches the Rfam family "Bacterial large subunit ribosomal RNA", at positions 1 to 1869 of the family's 2925-position model. Lineage: Bacteria; Pseudomonadati; Pseudomonadota; Gammaproteobacteria; Enterobacterales; Enterobacteriaceae. The record is from RNAcentral.